This 383-nucleotide ribosomal RNA is filed under the name uncultured bacterium. RNAcentral's name for it is "bacterial SSU rRNA". It matches the Rfam family "Bacterial small subunit ribosomal RNA", at positions 47 to 426 of the family's 1533-position model. The record is from RNAcentral.
CCUAACACAUGCAAGUCGAACGGUAACAGGAAGAAGCUUGCUUCUUUGCUGACGAGUGGCGGACGGGUGAGUAAUGUCUGGGAAACUGCCUGAUGGAGGGGGAUAACUACUGGAAACGGUAGCUAAUACCGCAUAACGUCGCAAGACCAAAGAGGGGGACCUUCGGGCCUCUUGCCGUCGGAUGUGCCCAGAUGGGAUUAGCUAGUAGGUGGGGUAACGGCUCACCUAGGCGACGAUCCCUAGCUGGUCUGAGAGGAUGACCAGCCACACUGGAACUGAGACACGGUCCAGACUCCUACGGGAGGCAGCAGUGGGGAAUAUUGCACAAUGGGCGCAAGCCUGAUGCAGCCAUGCCGCGUGUAUGAAGAAGGCCUUCGGGUUGU